This 1214-nucleotide ribosomal RNA is filed under the name metagenome. RNAcentral's name for it is "bacterial SSU rRNA". It matches the Rfam family "Bacterial small subunit ribosomal RNA", at positions 295 to 1520 of the family's 1533-position model. The record is from RNAcentral.
AGAGGGCGACCGGCCACACUGGGACUGAGACACGGCCCAGACUCCUACGGGAGGCAGCAGUGGGGAAUAUUGCACAAUGGGCGCAAGCCUGAUGCAGCGACGCCGCGUGAGGGAUGACGGCCUUCGGGUUGUAAACCUCUUUCAGCAGGGAAGAAGCGAAAGUGACGGUACCUGCAGAAGAAGCGCCGGCUAACUACGUGCCAGCAGCCGCGGUAAUACGUAGGGCGCAAGCGUUGUCCGGAAUUAUUGGGCGUAAAGAGCUCGUAGGCGGUUUGUCGCGUCUGCUGUGAAAACCUGAGGCUCAACCUCGGGCUUGCAGUGGGUACGGGCAGACUAGAGUGCGGUAGGGGUGACUGGAAUUCCUGGUGUAGCGGUGGAAUGCGCAGAUAUCAGGAGGAACACCGAUGGCGAAGGCAGGUCACUGGGCCGCAACUGACGCUGAGGAGCGAAAGCAUGGGGAGCGAACAGGAUUAGAUACCCUGGUAGUCCAUGCCGUAAACGUUGGGCACUAGGUGUGGGGCUCAUUCCACGAGUUCCGUGCCGCAGCAAACGCAUUAAGUGCCCCGCCUGGGGAGUACGGCCGCAAGGCUAAAACUCAAAGAAAUUGACGGGGGCCCGCACAAGCGGCGGAGCAUGCGGAUUAAUUCGAUGCAACGCGAAGAACCUUACCAAGGCUUGACAUACACCGGAAACUUCCAGAGAUGGUUGCCCCGCAAGGUCGGUGUACAGGUGGUGCAUGGUUGUCGUCAGCUCGUGUCGUGAGAUGUUGGGUUAAGUCCCGCAACGAGCGCAACCCUCGUCCUAUGUUGCCAGCGGGUUAUGCCGGGGACUCAUAGGAGACUGCCGGGGUCAACUCGGAGGAAGGUGGGGAUGACGUCAAAUCAUCAUGCCCCUUAUGUCUUGGGCUUCACGCAUGCUACAAUGGCCGGUACAAAGGGCUGCGAUACCGCGAGGUGGAGCGAAUCCCAAAAAGCCGGUCUCAGUUCGGAUUGGGGUCUGCAACUCGACCCCAUGAAGUCGGAGUCGCUAGUAAUCGCAGAUCAGCAGCGCUGCGGUGAAUACGUUCCCGGGCCUUGUACACACCGCCCGUCAAGUCACGAAAGUCGGUAACACCCGAAGCCGGUGGCCCAACCCUUGUGGAGGGAGCUGUCGAAGGUGGGACUGGCGAUUGGGACUAAGUCGUAACAAGGUAGCCGUACCGGAAGGUGCGGCUG